This 2844-nucleotide ribosomal RNA is filed under the name Salmonella enterica. RNAcentral describes it as "partial 23S ribosomal RNA". It matches the Rfam family "Bacterial large subunit ribosomal RNA". Lineage: Bacteria; Pseudomonadati; Pseudomonadota; Gammaproteobacteria; Enterobacterales; Enterobacteriaceae. The record is from RNAcentral.
CAUAGGUUAAUGAGGCGAACCGGGGGAACUGAAACAUCUAAGUACCCCGAGGAAAAGAAAUCAACCGAGAUUCCCCCAGUAGCGGCGAGCGAACGGGGAGGAGCCCAGAGCCUGAAUCAGCAUGUGUGUUAGUGGAAGCGUCUGGAAAGGCGCGCGAUACAGGGUGACAGCCCCGUACACAAAAGCGCAUGUGCUGUGAGCUCGAUGAGUAGGGCGGGACACGUGGUAUCCUGUCUGAAUAUGGGGGGACCAUCCUCCAAGGCUAAAUACUCCUGACUGACCGAUAGUGAACCAGUACCGUGAGGGAAAGGCGAAAAGAACCCCGGCGAGGGGAGUGAAAAAGAACCUGAAACCGUGUACGUACAAGCAGUGGGAGCCCCACCACUAAGCCAGUGGUGAACUCCACAUACGCAUCCUUUGCUGAGGAUACGGUUAACGGAGCGAAAGCGACGUUCAACCGCAAAAGAAGCAGAGGGGGCUUAGUGGUGGGGUGACUGCGUACCUUUUGUAUAAUGGGUCAGCGACUUAUAUUCUGUAGCAAGGUUAACCGAAUAGGGGAGCCGGAGGGAAACCGAGUCUUAACCGGGCGUUAAGUUGCAGGGUAUAGACCCGAAACCCGGUGAUCUAGCCAUGGGCAGGUUGAAGGUUGGGUAACACUAACUGGAGGACCGAACCGACUAAUGUUGAAAAAUUAGCGGAUGACCUGUGGCUGGGGGUGAAAGGCCAAUCAAACCGGGAGAUAGCUGGUUCUCCCCGAAAGCUAUUUAGGUAGCGCCUCGUGAAUUCAUCUCCGGGGGUAGAGCACUGUUUCGGCUAGGGGGCCAUCCCGGCUUACCAACCCGAUGCAAACUGCGAAUACCGGAGAAUGUUAUCACGGGAGACACACGGCGGGUGCUAACGUCCGUCGUGAAGAGGGAAACAACCCAGACCGCCAGCUAAGGUCCCAAAGUCAUGGUUAAGUGGGAAACGAUGUGGGAAGGCCCAGACAGCCAGGAUGUUGGCUUAGAAGCAGCCAUCAUUUAAAGAAAGCGUAAUAGCUCACUGGUCGAGUCGGCCUGCGCGGAAGAUGUAACGGGGCUAAACCAUGCACCGAAGCUGCGGCAGCGACGCUGAUGCGUUGUUGGGUAGGGGAGCGUUCUGUAAGCCUGUGAAGGUGGCCUGUGAGGGUUGCUGGAGGUAUCAGAAGUGCGAAUGCUGACAUAAGUAACGAUAAAGCGGGUGAAAAGCCCGCUCGCCGGAAGACCAAGGGUUCCUGUCCAACGUUAAUCGGGGCAGGGUGAGUCGACCCCUAAGGCGAGGCCGAAAGGCGUAGUCGAUGGGAAACGGGUUAAUAUUCCCGUACUUGGUGUUACUGCGAAGGGGGGACGGAGAAGGCUAUGUUGGCCGGGCGACGGUUGUCCCGGUUUAAGCGUGUAGGUGUGUGUUCCAGGUAAAUCCGGUUCACUUUAACACUGAGGCGUGAUGACGAGGCACUACGGUGCUGAAGCAACAAAUGCCCUGCUUCCAGGAAAAGCCUCUAAGCAUCAGGUAACAUCAAAUCGUACCCCAAACCGACACAGGUGGUCAGGUAGAGAAUACCAAGGCGCUUGAGAGAACUCGGGUGAAGGAACUAGGCAAAAUGGUGCCGUAACUUCGGGAGAAGGCACGCUGACACGUAGGUGAAGUGAUUUACUCAUGGAGCUGAAGUCAGUCGAAGAUACCAGCUGGCUGCAACUGUUUAUUAAAAACACAGCACUGUGCAAACACGAAAGUGGACGUAUACGGUGUGACGCCUGCCCGGUGCCGGAAGGUUAAUUGAUGGGGUCAGCGCAAGCGAAGCUCCUGAUCGAAGCCCCGGUAAACGGCGGCCGUAACUAUAACGGUCCUAAGGUAGCGAAAUUCCUUGUCGGGUAAGUUCCGACCUGCACGAAUGGCGUAAUGAUGGCCAGGCUGUCUCCACCCGAGACUCAGUGAAAUUGAACUCGCUGUGAAGAUGCAGUGUACCCGCGGCAAGACGGAAAGACCCCGUGAACCUUUACUAUAGCUUGACACUGAACAUUGAGCCUUGAUGUGUAGGAUAGGUGGGAGGCUUUGAAGUGUGGACGCCAGUCUGCAUGGAGCCGGCCUUGAAAUACCACCCUUUAAUGUUUGAUGUUCUAACGUGGACCCGUGAUCCGGGUUGCGGACAGUGUCUGGUGGGUAGUUUGACUGGGGCGGUCUCCUCCUAAAGAGUAACGGAGGAGCACGAAGGUUGGCUAAUCCUGGUCGGACAUCAGGAGGUUAGUGCAAUGGCAUAAGCCAGCUUGACUGCGAGCGUGACGGCGCGAGCAGGUGCGAAAGCAGGUCAUAGUGAUCCGGUGGUUCUGAAUGGAAGGGCCAUCGCUCAACGGAUAAAAGGUACUCCGGGGAUAACAGGCUGAUACCGCCCAAGAGUUCAUAUCGACGGCGGUGUUUGGCACCUCGAUGUCGGCUCAUCACAUCCUGGGGCUGAAGUAGGUCCCAAGGGUAUGGCUGUUCGCCAUUUAAAGUGGUACGCGAGCUGGGUUUAGAACGUCGUGAGACAGUUCGGUCCCUAUCUGCCGUGGGCGCUGGAGAACUGAGGGGGGCUGCUCCUAGUACGAGAGGACCGGAGUGGACGCAUCACUGGUGUUCGGGUUGUCAUGCCAAUGGCACUGCCCGGUAGCUAAAUGCGGAAGAGAUAAGUGCUGAAAGCAUCUAAGCACGAAACUUGCCCCGAGAUGAGUUCUCCCUGAGACUUAGAGUCUCCUGAAGGAACGUUGAAGACGACGACGUUGAUAGGCCGGGUGUGUAAGCGCAGCGAUGCGUUGAGCUAACCGGUACUAAUGAACCGUGAGGCUUAACCUU